UUCAGCAUUAGCAUCUUCAGCAUUUUCAGCAGCCACAUUCAGCUUCCAGCAUUCACACGAGCAUUAUCGCAGGUAAUGUAACUUUCUAGUUAAGUUAAUCUUUGGUCAAAUGAUUCACUGGCUGCAGUUCAUUAGUGAUAUUUCUCUUUCUUCUCCCUUUUCUUGCAUUUAUGCAAUAUUCAUAAAAUAACAUCAUUUUGCAUCAAAAAUAGUUCAUAAAUAUCUGUUUUUAAACAUUAUAUUUAGUAAAAUGGAUUCUAAAGAAAAGCAAAGAUUAAAAAAAAGUAGGAAUUUCUUUAAAAAAAUAAAUACUUGGUUUUGGCUGAACAACAAUCUGGUCUUUUUUAGUCUAAGGCGAACACGCCUGUGAAACAGAGAAACUAAACUGACACUGAAAUUCAGCAAUAAUCGGAAUAAUUCCUUUUAUGUGCCGCCUGCAUUAUUGUUAUUAAUUUAUUUCUUUUUUGGGGUCCAUAUAAAAAAAUCUUCACUUUUAAUUUAGAUUUUUUUCCUCUAAAAUCUCCAUUCCUAAAAAGACAUUAGACUGUCACAGUCUGUCAGUUCUGCUGUUUUACCUCAUUCUUGUGUUUCCUGUGCAGGCUGCUGGAAGGCUCCGCCCCCUCUCCUGUGGAGUGGUGCACAGCUGCCUGCACUUUAGUUUCAUUCGUUUGAGCUCUAUUUAAGUGUUUCUGAUUGUGGCCUCUGUGUCGCUUUAGUUUAAUUCUGUUUGUGGAGUUUUCCACCUUUUCUUAUCACAGAAUCUUCUCUCCAUCUUCUUGCCUUCGUAUCAUCCUGAUACGCUGUGACAUGGACAGGCUGGAGUCGGCAGCCUCCACGGCGGCUCUCUGUCUGUCCGGAAUAUCAAGCGAGAGAGCUCCGCCGCGGGAGUGAAAACCAGCGAAAAAAGCCGGAUGAACUCUGCAACCCCGCGGCUCAAAGGAAAGAGAUGGAAGUUCAGGACAUAACCGCUCGCUUUGGACUAGUAUUCUACCCGCUGAAAAUGUCACGUGACCAAAACUGAGUUCCUGAUUGGCCGAUGAGACGCAGCAACCUGUCAAAGCUCAGAUAUUUAACAUUUUUUCUUCCCCCCCCCCCACUUUCACCCUCUCUUCCCUCUGUCAAAAAUAAAAUAAAAUAUUCAUGCAUAAAACACAAAAUGUAAUGAAUACAAAAAUUAAAUAAACAAAAGGGGUUUAUACAAAUAUGCAGCCUGGGUGUUAUUACAUACAUAACCCAUAUUGUAAAAGUAAAAUUUGUCCAACACAAAAGGCCUUCAGCUGUUGGACAGGACAAGUUAAAAGAAAAAAAAAGGAUAUUUAAAUUUUGGCCACGCUGUGAAAUUCAAAUCGCGCUGCAGAACUUCCGAUCGCCUCACGUCUGUUCCAUUGACUAAACAUUGAAACUUAAUAAGCUUCAUGAGCUUCUGCCUGUUCCUUUCAUUAUUGGUUGUUUUUUUUGUUUAAACUCUAUAUUGUGUUAACAGAACAAAUAACAUAAAAACGGCCACCUCCACCGCGAGAAUCGCACUUUAAUAAACCAUCUGUACGUGCACAGACUGCGUCUAGAACACCUCUUGCAUCUUUUUGGAGGCAUCAUCAAGCGUUUUUUUCUUCCAUUCGGGCAUCAAGUCAUCCAGGUAGCUGAGCUCCCGUUUAGAGAAGCACAAGUCCAGCAGCUUUCUGAUGAAGACCAGAGCCAGCACCUGCAAAGAAAAGGUGAGAUCUCACUGAAGGAGCACGAGAGAGGGAUGGAUGAAGACGUAAUCACAGGAGUUUACCAUCAUGGGGAAGACGAUGGCGGCGGGGGACGUCUUGAUAACCCACAGCAGAACCAGACAGGUGAGCUGGGUGACCGUGAACAGGUGCACCUUCCUUAAAGGGACGUGGCGCAGGUAAAUGAAGUCGGGCUGGUGCUUCGCUGGCAUCCCGAACAGCUUCAGACGGUCGAAGAACUAAAAAAGCCGAAAAACAAAACCAACUACAAUGUUGAGCUUUGAUUUGAGAUCAUUUUACAUCCAGGAAUUCAUUAUGUUGUGGAGCUGUUAAAACAGCUUUAAAGACUCCAGAUGAUUAUGUUUUCUUGGUGUUUUUAACAUGUUUGAGUAUUUCUGUAUUCAAAUUGUUGUGAAUCAGGAAAUAACGAAAAAAUGACAUUGGAAUAAAAGAGCACAUUUGUGACUUAGAAAAUGACAAGUUUUUUUUUUAUUUGAACGUCAUAAUUAUAAUGAAAAGACCUCUGUGAUGAUCAGAGUGGUAUGAAUUUCAUAACAUUUUUAGAAUGUUUGUAUAAGAACGAUAAAGUCUAAUGAAUGCAAGCAUCUGACCUGGAUUCCUUUUAAGGAAGAGGCUCCCAUGUAAAGGAAAACUCCGUACAACACGGGCAUCGGAAUGAACUGGAGGAAGAAACAACAUUUAUAGACUUCUGUGUCAACCGUGUUCAUUUAAACCACAAGAACUUUCUUUUCCAAUUUCUAAAGUCUGUUGGUUUCCUUUAAUGGAAUCAUGAAAAAAUAUUUUACACUAAUUUAUAAGUGCAUAGUAAUAAAGCUCAGAGCUGUUCUGUGAGAUCAACCCACAAAAAAAUACAAAGAUUAGGACAAAGGUAAGGUACAUUACAUGAACAAUCUGAUGUUUUUAUAUUUAACUCAAGCAGCUACUUUAUCUGAUGUCUGAACUAUAAAAAAAUGAUUAAGUAGUGAUUUAACGCCAACUCUGGUGUUAGACAGGAUGAACCCUCCUAGCAUUUUGUGGACUUAGAAAAGUGUCUGUGUUCUGCAAAACACCCGUUAAAAUCCUUUUCCCUUUGGAUUUCAUGAGGUAGAGAUAAAGAAGACUAAUGCCGGGUUCUCACCGCACGCAGAGGUGCAGCGAAGCGGAGUGCGUGGAAUCUGCUUCACACCAGACGUUGAUUUUUCGUGACGGUCGACAGGUGCUUCUGCUCAGCUGUGGCUAUCUGUGAUCGCGGAUUUUGUAUAUUGCCGAAUUAAGCAUUUUCGCGGAUUCGGUAUAUUUGCGGAUUUAACUUAUUCGCGGAUUUGCAGUAUUUGUGGAUCCGGCAUAUUCAUACAUUUUGCAUAUUCGCGGAUUCAAAAUAUUUAUGGUUUCACCAUAUUCGUCGAUUUGCCGUUUUCACAGAUUUGUCGUAUUUGCGGAUUCAGCACAUUUGCGGAUUCGGCAUUUCGGCAGAUUUGGGAUAUUUGCGGAAUUGGCAUCUCUUCACAGAUUCUGCAUAUUGGUAGUUUCUUUGUAUUGGUGGAUUUGACAUAUUCACAGAUUCGGCGUAUUCUCAUCUCUACAGUCUGUUUAGAUGCAAACACAUGAUCCCAUUUGUCAAUAACCUGAAUUUUUUGUGAAAAACGGGUUAUAUUUUGAAAACUGACCAGGUUUUCUCAUGUGUCUUGAUGUAACUUCCUGCCAGGAUUGACACAGAUCGCUUGCUGCUCGCGCAAAAAAACAACCGCGGCGCUUUGUGUCUGGUGUGAACUACACCAAAGGUUAACAAGGGCGUGAAAUGGAGGCGGCGUCCAUUCCGGGUCACUUCGCCACGCUUCCACAUGUGGGGUGAACCCGGCGUAAAGAACUGACCCACUGAACUGUUAAUAAAAUACUCGUCUAAUCUAGUCCUUGCAGUGACUUGCAGACCCGUCGUACCCGCAGGGCCUUCGUCAUGAACACAGAGCAGCCCAUCAACAGGAAAAUCAGCAGGCCGGUGAGUCUCUGCUCCCUGAUGCCCAGGAAGCGAGGCUGCUCUCCCGGAGCUGCACUCUCUGACUCCAGCUUCAGGCUGUUGACAUGAGAGAUGGACAACACGGUGGCCGCCACGAACCACGGCAGACCCAUGAUGGAGCACACGGCCAGCAUCACGCCCACCAUCAACAAAUCCAGAUGCAGUUUGUGCUCUUUGCGGUUGAUGAUGACGGCGGUGAUCUGCUGGUCCAUGAAGAUGAGAAUGGUGCAGAGAAGAGCAGGAAUAGCAGCAGCUACAGCCGUCCACCAGGGGUUACGUCCUAAUGGGCUGAUGAACC
Oryzias melastigma (Indian medaka) is the source of this 4024-nucleotide long non-coding RNA. RefSeq lists it as uncharacterized. The record is from RefSeq and is a predicted model, not a curated record. The transcript has 3 exons. Lineage: Eukaryota; Metazoa; Chordata; Actinopteri; Beloniformes; Adrianichthyidae.